CACCGCUAAAUGAUAAACGCAUCCACAUUAGCAUAAAUUCUAAGUACAGCAUUAUUUAAAGAUAAGAAUAAAACGACAAUAUUAUCUGGAAUAAGAUAUAAAUAAAAUGUUCUCGUACAGAUCUUUUCUUUAAAAUAGGUCUUCUUGGAAAUCUUCACAGCCAUGACGAUAUUCUGUGAUCUUUUAAUAAUUCAAUAACGUUUAAGAAUAGUCAAAAUAUUACGUCGGAAUGAAACACAACAUCAAUACAGUCAACAUUACGCAAUACACAUUACACGUGUAGUUCAACGGAUAAAUUUGGGUCAACAUCAAUAUACAGUAAAAAUGGCUCUUUUGGUAAAAUCGGAACUUGCGUAUGCAUGGCGAUACAGUUAUCCCCGAUACAAGUUGAAUAAUAUAUAAAAUCAAAAUAGCAUAUUAAUGAACAGGAUCCAAAUGUUACGGAAAUUAAAUAAUGUAUGAUGCAAUGAAAUAAAUCUCACGUGCUUUCUGGUUGAAAACGGAAUACAUGUAGAUAUUCACUAAUAAAUCACAAAGACAGUACACAAGACGAGACAUGGUCUGUUCUUCAGUUGAAAAAUCCAUUUAAAUUUUGGAAUCAUAAUAAAAGUUCAGCUAUAAAUUUUGUAAAAACAAGGAAAAGUGUUCAGCAUCAAGGCACUAUAUAUCAGGAUCCAUCAGGAACGGUCGGUCAACUUGAGAGGUAAAAAUGUCUAAAAUCCAUGAAAAAUUAAACUCCAAAAAUGUAUACUUCUUUAUCCACCGAUCGUUUAGGGUCCUUCACCAUAUUACAGACUAGGGGAAUAGCUCUGGUAAUAUGGAUGGAG
RNAcentral lists this long non-coding RNA (827 nucleotides) under Mytilus galloprovincialis (Mediterranean mussel). Lineage: Eukaryota; Metazoa; Mollusca; Bivalvia; Mytilida; Mytilidae. The record is from RNAcentral.